Molecule: long non-coding RNA, 3165 nt
Organism: Glycine soja
Lineage: Eukaryota; Viridiplantae; Streptophyta; Magnoliopsida; Fabales; Fabaceae
Exons: 2
Source: RefSeq, a predicted model, not a curated record
UUCCGCCCAAUAAAUUUAUGUAAUGUCUUGUAUAAACUUAUUUCCAAGGUGCUUGUUAAUCGGAUGAAACCUCUCCUAAAUCCCAGUGUUAGCCCUCUCCAAAAUAGCUUCAUUCCGGGAAGAGGAACCUCUGAUAAUGGGAUUAUUCUCCAGAAGGUCAUACAUAGCUUUUCUAAGAACAAGAAGAAGAAAUGAGAUGUUUUAUUCAAGUUUGAUCUGGAUAAAACGUAUGAUAAGGUGGAGUGUUCUUUCCUGAAGCAAGUUCUGUUUGAUUUUGGUUUCCCUGAACCUACCAUAAAUCUGAUGUUCUGUGUGUCCUCCUUGGUGACUUUUCUUCUUUGGAAUGGUAUCAAAACUACCCUUUUUCCCAACAGGAGAGGGCUUCAUUAAGGAGACCCGUUAUCCCCGUACCUCUUCGUGUUGUGCUUAGAAAGAAUGGGUCAUUCUAUUAUGGAUGCUAAGGAUAGAGGUCUUUGGAACCCUAUUUCUUUAUCUAGAGGUGGGCCUUGCCUUAUUUGUUUUUCACGGAUGAUGUCCUGCUCUUCUCUAAAGCAAGCCUUCCCAGAUUAGGCUUAGUAAGAACAUGUUAGAUAACUUCUGCAGUGGCUCUGGUCUUCAGGUUAAUCUUGCUAAUUAAUCCAAAAUCUUUGCUUCUAAAGGUGUCACUAAUCACAGGAAGGACAAGAUUGAAGGUAUUUCUCAAAUAAAAUUUACAAGUAAUUUGGGUAAGUACUUGGGUUUCAAUAUGGUGCAUGGGAGAGUGUCCAGUAAUCAAUUUAAGGAGCUUAUGGAUAAGGUUCAAAGGAAGUUGCUAGCUUGGAAGGGUCGCCUUCUAAUAGGCCAGGGAGGGUGACUCUUGUCAAGUCAGUUCUCUGUUCUAUGCCUAUUUAUUCUAUGCAAGUUCAAUGGUUGCCUAACAAAGUUUGCGAGAAACUGGACGCCAUUAAUAGGCAUUUUGUUUGGAGUGGAUCGACCAAUAGAAAGAUUCAUCUGGCUAGCUAGGACACUAUUAUGAAACCUAUGAAGUGGGGAGGGUUAGCUAUCCGAAAGGCCCGUGAGCAGAAUAUUGGCCCUUUGGGGAAGUUGAUUUGGGACUCCUUGCAUUCCCAUGAUAAGUUGUGGAUUCAGUUGACUCAAAGUAUCCGAGUGAUAAUUUUAUGUCUAGACUGGACAACAAGGGCUCUUAUACGCGGAGGUUCCUAAAAAUGCUUAUCUAGAGCUUCAAAAUGGAUUCAAUCUUAAUCUUGGGAAUGAUGGCUCCAAUUUUUGGUUUUUUUAUUGGCUCCCAGGAGGGUCUCUGAAUGAUAAAGUUGAUUUUAUUCAUAUUCAUGACUCUGAUAUUUGUGUUUGUGAUUUUAUGCAGGUCGGAGAGUGGAGGCUUUUUCUUCUUUCUAAUUUUUGGAGGGUGUGAAGUAUAGGUGCUUAAGUUAAUGUUGUAUUGCACCCACAAAUUUAUGAUUUCUCUAUUUGCAGAGCAAGAAUUAAGCAGAGGUUGGCGCUUUAUCGUGGCGUUAUGUCCAUAUACAUGCAAUUUUCAAAUGAUGCAGAAGAGACCUUCUCUAGAGCCCUCAAGCUACUAUUGGUUAGUAAGGUUCAUGGAUAAUUAGUUCUUAAGGCCACUCAGAGAAGAGUGCUUCCUUCUCAGAUUCAUCACCCCUGGUAUUUUAGUCAUGAAUUCUUCAAUUCUACACUUUUCUUUAAAUGUAUGGGUGCUAUAAUAUUUUUCGUAUGUUCUUCUCGGUCUAUAUAUACCCGAGUGCUAGAAUAUUUUCGUAGAAAAAAAAAAAUAACAGAACCAUGAUAUUUUUGUUUUAGAUAUUAGUCCAUGGAAUAGUAGGUCCUUAUCCAAGCUUGCCAAACAUAACCAAAUACCUUAGAUAUUUUAUAGUCUCUGAUAAAUCAAUUUGUCUUAGUAGUUGAAUGCUAAGACAUUCUAUUCAUGACACUUUACAAAACAUGGGAAUUUUAUUAGUAAAUAUACGAUAGGUACUCAGAAUAGUACACCACAAAACCAAAAUUAAUGUUGGAAAAACUUUGGUUAUGUGGUAUUUAUUCUUAUCUUAUGCAAUAAAUACCUUGUAACCAAGUGGAUAUCUUUUGUAAAUGUUACGGCAUUUCUGGUGCCAUACAUCAAUAUAUCUUUUUUGCUUUAAAAAAAAAACAAAAUUAAUGGUCCUCAAAACACCACAGUACGCUUCCAUAAAAAACAAACAGAUUUAGUUAACUUUUGUAGUUCUGGUUAAUUAUAAGUUGUAUCUCACUCCAAGGGUGGUACCUCAUGGCUAGGACCCUAACACUUUGAUUGGGGAAAGGAUGUUAGAAAAAGGAAGAGAAUAAAUUAGUAUGACAGAAAGUAGCUUUCUUGCUCUGGGAGGAGGGGGAAUAGGUUAUAGGUUAGGGGGCUACAAGCAAAAUUCUUUUUUCCCAAAGGGGGAGGGGAAAAAUAUUGUGGAAUUUUUCUGUUUUUAGUUAAUUUAAUUUAAUGUUAAAUUAUAUUUUUUUAUACUACUAUAUAACAUAUAAAAUGAAAAAAAAAAAGUAAUGUCAAAUAUGAUAUAAAUAAACUGAAUAUAUGUCUUGAAUCUAGACAUUUCUUUUAUCCUAUAUAUCUAUUCAUUCAACUCUGAUAUAUAUAAGUCUAAUGCAUAGAUGGAUUUUUAUUUUUGGUGUUUUGAUGGAAAUUAUAUUGAAGGGAAGAUAAGUUUUUAUUUUAAAUUUAAAAUAGUUGUAGAAUAUUUAUGAAAAUAAAUAAAUAUUAGCAGGAUGCAUGUCAAGAAAAAUCCCUUUUCUUUUCUAUUCAUUACAUCAUACAUAUACGUACCUUCCCUUUUCCAAUUAAAGAUUGUAUUCGCAGGGUGUCAAGAAAAUAAUUUUCCUUCGGUACGUAACAGGGAUGACCAAAUAUUGUUCAAUGGAUUAUUAUACUACUUGGGAUGCUAUACAUUAUCUGGGGCAUCACGUCUUCCAUUAUGGAGAAUAGUGGAGUUGUUAUGGCAAUAUUGCUUCAUGCAGGACCAAUGGAGUUUCUCUGUUAUUGGUUACACUGAGCACUUCAUCAUUUUGUAAUUUCUCUAUUAUUGGUCCGAUCUUAACUUUGUCUCUUUUGUAAUUUCAGUAUUCAAUUUUUGAAAUAAUUAUAAUUUGUAGAUAUUUAUAACUUUUUAA